CUCCCCUGCUCACGCUCUCUUUCAAAACUAAAUAAACAUUAAAAACAAUUAGAAAAACAAAGAGAAGCUCUAUAAAUAGUAGCUAUUAGAAUCUUUAAGGCAUUUCCACCAGAAGACCUGUGGGCAUGAGCUGGAGGAGGAGGGAAAGCCAAAGGUGAUGAAGCAGAACGAUAAUAGAGUGGUCCCCUCUUAUGGACGGGGAUACGUUCCAAGACCCACAGUGGAUGCCUGAAACCGUAAGUAGUACCCUACAUGUGCUAUGUUUUUUCCUAUGCAUACAUGCCUAUGAGAAAGUUUCACGUAUGAAUUAGGCACAGUAAGAGAUGUACAAUAACUAAUAAUAAGACAGAACUACAGCCAUAUACACAUAAAAGUUAUGUGAAUGUGGUUUCUCUCAGAAUUUCUUACUGUACUGUACUCACUCUUCUUGAGAUGAUGUGGGAUGAUAAAAUGCCCACGUGAUGAGCUGAAGUGAGGUGAAUGACACUGUGAUGGAGCAUGAGGAUAAUGUGAAAAAACAACAGUGGAGAGAAAUCAUUGACCCAAAAUCUGAUGUUCUCAUGGAGGAAUUGGUGGGAAGAAGGCAGGGGCUUUCUGGAUCCUAAGUGAGGUCAGUUUCCCUGACAGAGGCUCCCUCAGUAUCCUCUCCUUCCCUUUUGCAGCCUGGAUUUCAGCCUUAUGUUCACAGGUUGUGCAACAAUCACCAUUAUCUAAUUCCAGAAUAUUUUCAUCAACCCCAAAAGAAACCCCGUCUAUCAGCAGUCGGUCCCCAUUGAUCCGCUAGCUCCUGGCCACUACCAAUCUACUUUUUGUCUUACGGAUUUCGAUUCGGCCCCCACCCUCCGCCCCUACACGCGCAAAAGAAUCAUGUUCGCGUUGGGAGCCGACUCCCACCCCAGGCCGCGCUCGGUUUCGACAUGUGAUCCUCAGCCCGUGGGCCGCCAGUCUGGGCGGCGCAAACCCCGUCCGGGAAGCCCCGGGCAGCGUGGCCGCGGUCGGCGCCGGAGGAACUAAACAGCGACAGCGGCUCCCCCCUGCCCUUCCUCCCAGCUCCUUCUCCCCGCCCACAAGGCACGAGCACACACUACAGCAAACUCCAGGAUUUUUCCCGACCCCGAAGUCAAGGUGGGGAUGGGUGCCCCAAAAGCCGAGGGCAGAGGCAAAGUCUGAAAACUCGAGGGGCUUCCUGCCUGCCCGCUUUACUCCCUCCUUGCUCCCUCGCGUACCUUGCACAAGAAGUCGAUAUCGUAGAAGGCGGACAGAAGUGUGGUCGACAUGUUUCUGGAUCCUGUAAUGGUCGGCGCUGCAGGCAGGGGUCCGGAGGAGCCCUCGGGGCGGCGCGGCCGGGCUCGAGCCACGACGAAUAACGGGUGAGGGGCGGGGGAGGAACCGAAAGUUUGCCGGGGUUCGAGACAAGAGGAAGAGGGAAGCAGCGUGGACUGGCUGAGGGUGCCCGGGAGUGCGGAGUGGGGGAAAGGAGAAGCAAAUAGCGCUCCUCCGCGCCCCGGGUGCCCGGCCCGCCCCCCCCCCCGCGCGGAGCCGACGACAGCUCGCGGACUGCUGGAACUCCGCGGCCCUCGAGCGCGCGCCCUAUAUAGAGCCCGGGAGCGCAGCGGCUAGGCGUCUGGCCGGAGGAGGGACUGAACGCUGACCCCCGGGUCUCCAGGCAGCCGCCCGCCGGCUCGCGGACGUCAAGCGCCUUCGUGGCCUCCCAUUGGCCGCCGCCAAUUUUUUUUCUCCGGGGGAGGGGGCGGGAGGCCGUGGGCGGGGCAGGCUGCCGGGGCGCCCGGGCGUGGAGAGCUCGGCCCUGUUGGGUGCUGCUGGGUGGCGGCGGAAGAUAAGGCUCCUCUUCUCUGGGCUGCCCUGUUGGAAAUCCCUGCACGUUUAAAGUGACCAGAGUUCUGCAGCCCUGGACUUGUCUCCUCGCGCCGGAUCCUGCUAGGCGAAAUUGCGAAGCUUUUAUCUCCCACUCUCGGUUUUAUACUGGGCGCGGGAAUUGCAAAAUGCAAGAAUAUUGCAACCGUCCGUGCGGCCCGGCUGGCUUGCAAAGGGUGCUUGGGCCGGGAGGCGGGGCUCUGGCCUGCGUCCGGUGGGUGGUGGCUCCAUCCCGAUUGCACGUGGAGGCGCGGUGGGGUUGGGCGGGAGCGGCCACGCGGGCGGCUGCCGCGGCAGUCUCGCCCGGAGGAGCCUGGGCCCGUUUCUCCCGCCCCGUCCCCGCCCAGGCUGCAGUAAACAGGGCUUGAGCGCCGGGGCCUGCAGGGCAGGGCUGAGUGUCUGAGGACAAGGCGCUGGCUUUGCUAAUCACAUCACAAGACCUUGAGCUAGGCCAAAGCGCGGAGUGGCGCGGGCGUCCCGGGCGGGGGAGCCGGCUGGGAGGACGGGAGGAAAGGCCAGGAGAGCUGCGCAGGCCUGGAGGCGACUUCCCGCCACCCCGUCCGUCCGCCGGUCAGCUCGGCCUUCCCCAGCCCUCCCAGGGGAUGGGGUGCAGCUGCCGGCUGAGGCUCCCCGGCCGCCGCGGCCGUGGCCGGGCGUGCCCUCCACGUCCCUUUCCUCCCUGGCCGUUGGGGGCCGCGCCCUGCCUUAGCUCGUCGUGAGCCGCAGGCUCGGGCUGAGGCCGGCCAACUGCCCAGGCAGUACAGGGCGUCGAGGACGCUCAAGGUGGGCUUGCCCUCUUUUUUUCCCCCCCUCUCACCAGUCCCACACCCCAAAGCCCUGCUCUGGGUAAUGCCUUUGCCAAGGGGCCCCCUCAAGGGUACGGGGCAGACAGCCCCCCCUAGCGCCCAGUUAGGCAAAGCCGCUGACAGCCCGGUCGGCAGAUGUGGGGUCUAGGCCAGGACACUUAUCACUCGUCUAAACAUAUGCUGCCAAAACCUGGAGCGGGCCCAUGAUCUCGCACACCUGGUAGCUUAGGCUUCAUUUGGGCCUAAGUUGGAAGGCCCAGUUCCCUCUAGGGAAGGAAGCAACCCACGCCCCCUUUCCCAAAUUGAGGUUAUUUCUUGUUUCCUCUUGGUCAUUUCCAUUCGUUAACCUGGAAGUGGGGGAAAAAGCCAUUAGGCCUGUCACUCAUGGAACUGACGCCUCAGAGUUCAGUUUGCAUGCAGUUCCCCCUGCUGUCACUCCCUAAGCACCCACUCAGAGAGCUAGAGUCUGCAGUGGGCUGCAAGCACUUUAGGACCAGAAACCCAGGGCUGGCGUUCAGGGCUGCCCUUUCCAAGUCAUGUGGUCUCAAGCAAAUCACAUAAUCUCUUUGGUACUUGGGUUUCCUUGUAAAACUAAGAUAAUUCCUGCUUUACUCAUCUCUCACCCUUGUCAAGGUGCAAAUGCGUUAUCUGUUAAAGUGUGUAAGAGAUGUACAGGUAUAAAUCCAUAUCAUUUAUUAAAUUGACAAAGCAUAAAAAUAGAGACAGCCGGGUCUCUGGACUGUGGCCAGAUGGGUAGAGGUCCACAGGAUCAUAUGCAGACCUGAGGGCACCAAAUCUUGGACCAUCUAGCUUGGAGCCAAGAGCAAUGACCCCGGAAGAGGGGAUUGCUUCAAUCUGGGUGAUUGCACCACCCAGCCUGCACUGGCCCCCAGGCAGCUGUGGCUGACACAGCCCAGAGCACUCAAGAACCCCAACUGUUCUGUUUUGUUCUUUGUUGAAAUGACCCCAAACAUGGAGUCUGAGGUUUGCCCUGAUAGUAGUAUUCUAAGAUUCCCCUGGGAAUGCAUCAGGCAAGUGUGAAACAGCCAUUUUACUGCUAUUGUAGGUCAGUAUUAAGAUUUCAGAUAUAAAACCAGUAGAAACUUCUGUACCUCCUGUCCUCCCAGGCUGGCCACAGCCAGCCAUCAUCAAAAUCUGGGGUAAUUCCCAGUCCACAGCCAUGAGAACACCCACUUUGCAGGCUUGGUAGAAGGAUCCUAGAGAUAACAUGUACAUAUGCUAUGGUACAUGUUUUGGUAAAGAGCACCUGCUGGUAUAAGGUGCUUUUAUUAUUAUGUAUCUGCUUUUAUUUCAUUUUAAAUGGAGAGAAAAGGAACGCUGGCCGUUUCCAAUGAGUUGGGCUUUACUGGGGCCAGUUUCAUAGUUAUUGAAACAUGGUCAUCACUGCAUUAUGCCAACAAUUUCCUGACUUCUGACCCAGUCAGUCCUUCUCAGAACAAAAAGAAAUGUUAGACUGGCAACUUUCCAUCAAGUGUGGGCUACACAGGAUCCUAAUUAAUUCAGGAUCACAAAAAAACACAUUUUGAGCUGAAUAGUCAAAAAUACCUAGGGAAUUUCCUGCUCUCUUUAGGACAAAACUUUGGAUUCUAAGUUUACUCCUUUCCUUGCCUUUUCCUACAGAGCUAUUUUUCUGUACUUCCAGUAUGGCUGUGUUUUUAGUGUUAGGUGGUUUUUUUUAAAGAGAAACACAUUUGAAAUACGAGCUUUUCUGCAGUAGGAAAUGAUACCAAACUUUCUCUCUUUUAAACUGCCCCUUCAGACCGUCAAACAUCAGUAACGUAGUUCCAAGUGAUUGCUCACCUGAGAAGUAUUUAAAAAUAUUUACAGUACCUAAAAGCUGGUAUCAUUCUGAUAACCAGGAUGAAAAAUGAAUAUGGAUGAGGCUCUGACCAAUCCAAGCUAUGAAUUUCAAGAUAGCUGUCUGUGGAUAACACUCAUUCUGAAAUGAGAAGGAAAAAAUGGCAAGCCAAUGAAGCAAAAAUGUAUGCAAGAGCGACACCUGCUGGGUGUCUGAGGCAGAGGGCUGGGUUGGGCUUGGAAAAGGCAGAAAAACCUUAAGGUUGCUAGAUUCAAACACUGAAAUGGAUAAUUGUGUUUUCUGACAUCUUAAAUGAGAAUCUUUUAUUGCCACCAAGAAAAUGACAGUAAGCAGCGUAGGAAUAAAACAAGUCAUUUAUUCUGGCUUUUCUUUCCCUGGAUUUCCUUCUCACAGCCAAGGGUCUAGGCUUUCACUGGGUGGCAACAUCGAAGUUUCCUAGCAUUGCCAGAAACACUUUUGGUGGGUAGGAGCUCUUUUAAUAAAUCAGACGUCAUGUGCAGGUCGCUGCAGGACUUGAACAUGUAGAUGGUAAAAAAAAACCAUCUCUAUGAAGUAGAUCUAUAAUUUUCCCAGGAUCCAACAUUUGGAACAUACUUCUGCUGUAGCUAAAAUGGAAUAAAAUUUAGAGUUCUGACCCAGUGGGCUGUUUGCCAACUAAUCCAGCUCUUCUAUUCAGUGGGAAAGAGGAGAGAAAGUCACGAGCUAAAACCUAGUUCUGUACAGUCAAUUCACAGAAAAUGUGGGCUGACUAUGCCUGGACGUUAGAGGCUGUGGGGGAAGAAAAAGCGAAUUCAGGUCCGCAGGUGGCCUGCACCUGGGAACAGAGUAAAUAUUCAACGUGGUAGCCACACUUCCUACAGUAGCUGC
Molecule: long non-coding RNA, 5388 nt
Organism: Lynx canadensis (Canada lynx)
Lineage: Eukaryota; Metazoa; Chordata; Mammalia; Carnivora; Felidae
Exons: 4
Source: RefSeq, a predicted model, not a curated record